GAUGAACGCUCGCGGGAGGCCUAACACAUGCAAGCCGAGCGGUAUGGGUAGCUUGCUACCCCGAGAGCGGCGUACGGGUGCGUAACACGUGUGCAACCUGCCCCUAUCCGGGGGAUAGCCCUCCGAAAGGAGGAUUAAUACCCCAUAAUAUAUCUGGUGGCAUCCCUAGAUAUUGAAAACCCCGGUGGAUAGGGAUGGGCACGCGCAAGAUUAGAUAGUUGGCGGGGUAACGGCCCACCAAGUCGAUGAUCUUUAGGGGUCCUGAGAGGGAGAUCCCCCACACUUGUACUGCGACACGGACCAGACUCCUACGGGAGGCAGCAGUGAGGAAUAUUGGACAAUGGGUGGAAGCCUGAUCCAGCCAUCCCGCGGGAGGGACGACGGCCCUAUGGGUUGUAAACCUCUUUUGUACGGGGAUAAACCUAUCUACGUGUAGAUAGCUGAAGGUACCGUACGAAUAAGCACCGGCUAACUCCGUG
RNAcentral lists this ribosomal RNA (479 nucleotides) under uncultured bacterium. Its description in RNAcentral is "partial 16S ribosomal RNA". It matches the Rfam family "Bacterial small subunit ribosomal RNA", at positions 28 to 507 of the family's 1533-position model. The record is from RNAcentral.